This 433-nucleotide ribosomal RNA is filed under the name uncultured bacterium. RNAcentral's name for it is "partial 16S ribosomal RNA". It matches the Rfam family "Bacterial small subunit ribosomal RNA", at positions 29 to 507 of the family's 1533-position model. The record is from RNAcentral.
AGCGAACGCUGGCGGCAGGCCUAACACAUGCAAGUCGAACGAACUCUUCGGAGUUAGUGGCGGACGGGUGAGUAACACGUGGGAACGUGCCUUUAGGUUCGGAAUAACUCAGGGAAACUUGUGCUAAUACCGAAUGUGCCCUUCGGGGGAAAGAUUUAUCGCCUUUAGAGCGGCCCGCGUCUGAUUAGCUAGUUGGUGAGGUAAAGGCUCACCAAGGCGACGAUCAGUAGCUGGUCUGAGAGGAUGAUCAGCCACAUUGGGACUGAGACACGGCCCAAACUCCUACGGGAGGCAGCAGUGGGGAAUCUUGCGCAUUGGGCGAAAGCCUGACGCAGCCAUGCCGCGUGAAUGAUGAAGGUCUUAGGAUUGUAAAAUUCUUUCACCGGGGACGAUAAUGACGGUACCCGGAGAAGAAGCCCCGGCUAACUUCGUG